Molecule: ribosomal RNA, 253 nt
Filed under: uncultured bacterium
Lineage: Bacteria
Description: partial 16S ribosomal RNA
Rfam family: Bacterial small subunit ribosomal RNA
Source: RNAcentral
UACGUAGGGUGCAAGCGUUAAUCGGAAUUACUGGGCGUAAAGCGUGCGCAGGCGGUUGUGCAAGACCGAUGUGAAAUCCCCGGGCUUAACCUGGGAACUGCAUUUGUGACUGCAUGGCUGGAGUGCGGCAGAGGGGGAUGGAAUUCCGCGUGUAGCAGUGAAAUGCGUAGAUAUGCGGAGGAACACCGAUGGCGAAGGCAAUCCCCUGGGCCUGCACUGACGCUCAUGCACGAAAGCGUGGGGAGCAAACAGG